GGGGACACUCCAGCAAGUGUUCUGUUCUUUCCUUCCUUUUAUCCUUUACCUCUUAUUUUUAUCUUUACUUUUGUCGUUGGAAGGUGAUAAGUGGUGCUGGAAUAUUUAAAAUAGAUAUAAAAAGUCCUGUGUGCCUCUCUCUGUAAGCAGCCUGAGGUGAUCUGUGAAAAUGGUCCGCUACUCUCUUGACCCAGAAAACCCUACAAAAUCAUGCAAAUCAAGCGGUUCAAAUCUUCGUGUUCACUUUUAAGAACACCCAUGAAACUGCUCAGGCCAUCAAGAGUAUGCAUAUCCGAAAAGCCACCAAGUACCUGAAAGAUGUCACUUUAAAGAAGUAGUAGAUGCUAUUCCGGCAUUACAAUGGUGGAGUUGGGAGGUGUGCCCAGGCCAAACAGUGGGCUGGACACAGGGCCGGUGGCCCAAAAAAAGUGCUGAAUUAUUGCUGCACAUGCUUAAAAAUGCAGAGAGUAAUGCUGAACUUAAGGGUUUAAACAUAGAUUCUUUGGUCAUUGAACACAUCCAGGUGAACAAAGCACCCAAGAUGGGCCGCCGUACUUACAGAGCUCAUGGUCGGAUUAGCCCAUACAUGAGUUUGUUCCUAAACCAGAAGAGGAGGUUGCACGGAAGAAAAAGAUAUCCCAGAAGAUGCUAAAGAAACAAAAACUUAUGGCACGGGAAUAAAUUCAGCAAAAAAUAAAUGCAAAUAAAAGACAAAAAAAUCCUGUGUGCUCCCUGCAUCUCACCAUCUUACUCUGCAGAGAGAGCGAGCACUAUCUGUGGUUAGUACACCUUCCAGGCUUUGGAAACCCAAAGCCCGUUCAUAUUUUGGUAUAUUCACAUUCUCACAUUCACAUGCACUCAUUCAUAUAAUUUUGUAAAAUGCUUCCACACUGCACCUUGCUUUUCCUCCUUAAUAAAUGCACCCUGCAGACCUCUUUACAUCAGAACUUGUCUAUGUCUCCAUAUUGAAUGAAUUACCUACUGAUGUCACUCAUUUUUGAAACUAAAAUAUUACCAAUGGUGCAUUAAAAGACUUCUCGAAGAAGUUUAUAUAUUG
This 1057-nucleotide long non-coding RNA is filed under the name Marmota monax (woodchuck). The record is from RNAcentral. Lineage: Eukaryota; Metazoa; Chordata; Mammalia; Rodentia; Sciuridae.